GUGACAUGAAAUUUGGGUUAAUUUUUGAGUUGUGGACACAUUCAGCACUCAUGAGUUGUUGCUGUUGUUGUAUAUAUGCUUGAAUUAAAAGAAGCAUAAAAGUUGAAUUGAAAACUGAGGUUUGAAGCAUGCACGUUUGGAAACAUUUUAGCUUGCGAGAGACAAAGAACUGUCUGAUUGUGUGUUUUUUUUGUCUUGAUGUAUA
This 205-nucleotide long non-coding RNA is filed under the name Phaseolus vulgaris (common bean). RNAcentral describes it as "long non-coding RNA (PVUL_LNC001376)". Lineage: Eukaryota; Viridiplantae; Streptophyta; Magnoliopsida; Fabales; Fabaceae. The record is from RNAcentral.